Molecule: ribosomal RNA, 1715 nt
Filed under: wastewater metagenome
Description: bacterial LSU rRNA
Rfam family: Bacterial large subunit ribosomal RNA
Source: RNAcentral
UGGAGGACCGAACCGGUAAACGUUGAAAAGUUUUCGGAUGACCUGUGGGUAGGGGUGAAAGGCCAAUCAAACUUGGAGAUAGCUCGUACUCCCCGAAAUGCAUUUAGGUGCAGCGUCGGGUUGAGGUGUCAUGGAGGUAGAGCUACCAAUAGGGCUAGGGGGCUUCACCGCCUACCAACCCCUGAUGAACUCCGAAUGCCAUGACAUCAUACCGGCAGUGAGGCUACGGGUGCUAAGGUCCGUAGCCGAGAGGGGAACAACCCAGACCAACAGCUAAGGUCCCCAAAUAGAUAUUAAGUUGAUUUUAACGAUGUGAGGAUGCAGUGACAGCUAGGAUGUUUGCUUGGAAGCAGCAAUUCAUUUAAAGAGUGCGUAACAGCUCACUAGUCGAGCGUUCUUGCGCGGAAAAUAAUCGGGCAUCAAAUAUCUUACCGAAGCUUUGGAUACCAGUCUAGGACUGGUGGUGGUAGGGGAGCAUUCUAAACUGCAGUGAAGGUGUGUCGUGAGAUGCGCUGGAGUGUUUAGAAAAGCAAAUGUAGGAAUGAGUAACGAUAAAAUAGGUGAGAAACCUAUUCGCCGUAAGACUAAGGAUUCCGGGAUCUAUGUUAAUCAGAACCGGGUUAGUCGGGGCCUAAGGUGUAGCCGAAGGGCGAAGCCGAUGGGAAACAGGUUAAUAUUCCUGUACAUGUAUCAGCUGUGAUGGGGUGACGAAGGAGCGUAAGGUUCGCCCACUGACGGAAUAGUGGGUUGAAGGGAGAAGGCGUUGAAGAUAUAGGCAAAUCCGUAUCUGAGCUGAGACCUGAUAGUACACAAGUCCCUUGGGAUGAGUGAUAGUGACUGUAAGCAUACUUCCAAGAAAAACCUCUAAACUUCAGGCUGACACAUCCCGUACCGUAAACCGACACAGGUAGUCGAGGAGAGUAUCCUAAGGCGCUCGAGUGAUCCGUGGCUAAGGAACUAGGCAAAAUGGUCUCGUAACUUCGGGAGAAGAGACUCCCCUCGUGAGAGGGGACGCAGUGAAGAGGCCCAGGCGACUGUUUAACAAAAACACAGGACUCUGCAAAAUCGUAAGAUGAAGUAUAGGGUCUGACACCUGCCCGGUGCUGGAAGGUUAAGGAAGGGGGUUAGUGCGUAAGUGCGAAGCUCUUAACUGAAGCCCCAGUAAACGGCGGCCGUAACUAUAACGGUCCUAAGGUAGCGAAAUUCCUUGUCGGGUAAGUUCCGACCUGCACGAAUGGUGUAACGAUCUGGGCACUGUCUCAGCCAUGAGCUCGGUGAAAUUGUAGUAUCGGUGAAGAUGCCGAUUACCCGCAACGGGACGGAAAGACCCCGUGAACCUUUACUACAACUUCACAUUGAGCUUGAAUACAGGAUGUGUAGGAUAGGUGGGAGGCUACGAAGCUGUGACGCUAGUCAUGGUGGAGCCAACGUUGAAAUACCACCCUUCCUGUAUUUAGGUUCUAAUCCCUAAAAGGGAAACAGUGUGUGGUGGGUAGUUUGACUGGGGUGGUCGCCUCCAAAAAAGUAACGGAGGCUCGCAAAGGUACACUCAGCAUGGUCGGUAAUCAUGCGAAGAGCGUAUUAGUAUAAGUGUGCUUGACUGAGAGACCGACGGGUCGAUCAGGAACGAAAGUUGGCUAAAGUGAUCCGGUGUUUCCGCAUGGAAGGGACAUCGCUCAAAGGAUAAAAGGUACUCCGGGGAUAACAGGCUGAUC